GUGCCAGCCGCCGCGGUAAUACCAGCUCUCCGAGUGGUGGGGACGUUUAUUGGGCCUGAAGCAUCCGUAGCCAGCUGAGCAAGUCCCCAGUUAAAUCCAGCGAUUUAAUCGUUGGACUGCUGGGGAUACUGUCCGGCUUGGGGGUGGGAGAGGCCGACGGUAUUCCCGGGGUAGGGGUGAAAUCCUAUAAUCCCGGGAGGACCACCAGUGGCGAAGGCUGUUGGCUAAAACAUGCCCGACGGUGAGGGAUGAAAGCUGGGGGAGCGAACCGGAUUAGAUACCCGGGUAGUCCCAGCUGUAAACGAUGCAGGCUAGGUGUUAGGGCGGCCACGUGCCGCUCUAGUGCCGCAGGGAAGCUGUUAAGCCUGCCGCCUGGGGAGUACGGCCGCAAGGCUGAAACUCAAAUGAAUUGACGGGG
RNAcentral lists this ribosomal RNA (418 nucleotides) under uncultured prokaryote. RNAcentral's name for it is "bacterial SSU rRNA". It matches the Rfam family "Archaeal small subunit ribosomal RNA", at positions 455 to 873 of the family's 1478-position model. The record is from RNAcentral.